UGGCGGUACGGGUGGAGUAACACGUGGAUUAUCUGCCCUGGAGUGGGGAAUAACGCUGGGAAACCGGCGCUAAUACCGCAUAUUCCCGAGAGGGGAAAGCAGCAAUGCGCUCGAGGAGGAGUCCGCGGCCGAUUAGCUAGUUGGCAGGGUAAAAGCCUACCAAGGCUAUGAUCGGUAGCCGGCCUGAGAGGGCACACGGCCACACUGGCACUGAAACACGGGCCAG
Molecule: ribosomal RNA, 226 nt
Filed under: uncultured bacterium
Lineage: Bacteria
Description: partial 16S ribosomal RNA
Rfam family: Bacterial small subunit ribosomal RNA
Source: RNAcentral